CCUACGGGAGGCAGCAGUGGGGAAUAUUGCGCAAUGGGCGCAAGCCUGACGCAGCGACGCCACGUGAGGGAUGAAGGUCUUCGGGUCGUAAACCUCUGUCGGCAGGGAAGAACGGUCACUGUGCUAAUCAGCAGUGAAUUGACGGUACCUGCAAAGGAAGCACCGGCUAACUCCGUGCCAGCAGCCGCGGUAAUACGGAGGGUGCGAGCGUUAAUCGGAAUUACUGGGCGUAAAGCGCUCGUAGGCGGUAUGUCAAGUCAUGUGUGAAAUCCCCGCGCUCAACGUGGGAACUGCAUUUCAAACGGGCAAACUAGUGCGUGAGAGAGGAUAGGAGAACUACAGGUGUAGGUGUGA
RNAcentral lists this ribosomal RNA (354 nucleotides) under uncultured bacterium. RNAcentral's name for it is "partial 16S ribosomal RNA". It matches the Rfam family "Bacterial small subunit ribosomal RNA", at positions 338 to 684 of the family's 1533-position model. The record is from RNAcentral.